GAUGAACGCUGGCGGCGUGCCUAAUACAUGCAAGUCGAGCGAACAGAUGAGGAGCUUGCUCCUCUGACGUUAGCGGCGGACGGGUGAGUAACACGUGGAUAACCUACCUAUAAGACUGGGAUAACUUCGGGAAACCGGAGCUAAUACCGGAUAAUAUAUUGAACCGCAUGGUUCAAUAGUGAAAGACGGUUUUGCUGUCACUUAUAGAUGGAUCCGCGCCGCAUUAGCUAGUUGGUAAGGUAACGGCUUACCAAGGCAACGAUGCGUAGCCGACCUGAGAGGGUGAUCGGCCACACUGUAACUGAGACACGGUCCAGACUCCUACGGGAGGCAGCAGUAGGGAAUCUUCCGCAAUGGGCGAAAGCCUGACGGGGCAACGCCGCGUGAGUGAUGAAGGUCUUCGGAUCGUAAAACUCUGUUAUUAGGGAAGAACAAAUGUGUAAGUAACUAUGCACGUCUUGACGGUACCUAAUCAGAAAGCCACGGCUAACUACGUG
This 497-nucleotide ribosomal RNA is filed under the name uncultured bacterium. RNAcentral describes it as "partial 16S ribosomal RNA". It matches the Rfam family "Bacterial small subunit ribosomal RNA", at positions 28 to 507 of the family's 1533-position model. The record is from RNAcentral.